CAAUAGCGUAUAUUUAAGUUGUUGCAGUUAAAAGCUCGUAGUUGGAUUUCGGUUGAGAACGGCCGGUCCGCCGUUUGGUGUGCACUGGCUGGUCAUCUCAACUUCCUGUGAGAGGACGCGGCUACUGGGGGUUAACGCUCGGAGCGUCGGAGUUCUAAAUCGUGGUUAUCAUUUGAAAAAUUGAGUAGUGUUUCAAAGCAGGCUUACUGCUUGAAUAUUUCAGGACAUAGGAAUAACACUAUAGGACUCCUGUCCUAUUUCGUUGGUCUCGGGACGGGAGUAAUGAUUAAGAGGAACAGUUGGGGGCAUUCGUAUUUCAUUGUCAGAGGUGAAAUUCUUGGAUUUAUGAAAGACGAACUUCUGCGAAAGCAUUUGCCAAGGAUGUUUUCAUUAAUCAAGAACGAAAGUUGGGGGCUCGAAGAUGAUUAGAUACCA
This 435-nucleotide ribosomal RNA is filed under the name uncultured eukaryote. RNAcentral describes it as "bacterial SSU rRNA". It matches the Rfam family "Eukaryotic small subunit ribosomal RNA", at positions 592 to 1017 of the family's 1831-position model. The record is from RNAcentral.